CCUACGGGAGGCAGCAGUAAGGAAUAUUGGUCAAUGGGCGCAAGCCUGAACCAGCCAUGCCGCGUGCAGGAUGACGGCCCUCUGGGUUGUAAACUGCUUUUAUACGGGAAGAACAGCAUCUACGUGUAGGUGUUUGACGGUACUGUAAGAAUAAGGACCGGCUAACUUCGUGCCAGCAGCCGCGGUAAUACGAAGGGUCCAAGCGUUAUCCGGAUUUAUUGGGUUUAAAGGGUGCGUAGGCGGCUUUUUAAGUCAGUGGUGAAAGCCUGAUGCUCAACAUCAGAACUGCCAUUGAUACUGAAGAGCUUGAGUACAGUUGAGGUUGGCGGAAUGUGUCAUGUAGCGGUGAAAUGCUUAGAUAUGACACAGAACACCGAUUGCGAAGGCAGCUAGCUAAGCUGUUACUGACGCUGAUGCACGAAAGCGUGGGGAGCAAACAGGAUUAGAUACCCUGGUAGUCCACGCCCUAAACGUUGAUAACUCGUUGUUAGCGAUAUACUGUUAGCGACCAAGCGAAAGCAUUAAGUUAUCCACCUGGGAAGUACGGUCGCAAGAUUGAAACUCAAAGGAAUUGACGGCNGAGAGNGCGAGGACGACGACGAGGGAGGAGG
RNAcentral lists this ribosomal RNA (611 nucleotides) under uncultured bacterium. RNAcentral's name for it is "bacterial SSU rRNA". It matches the Rfam family "Bacterial small subunit ribosomal RNA", at positions 338 to 951 of the family's 1533-position model. The record is from RNAcentral.